RNAcentral lists this long non-coding RNA (1763 nucleotides) under Stegodyphus dumicola. RNAcentral describes it as "uncharacterized LOC118182935". The record is from RNAcentral. Lineage: Eukaryota; Metazoa; Arthropoda; Arachnida; Araneae; Eresidae.
AUUCAAGUGCAACGCUUUUCGGACACGCCUACUGAAAAUACGUCACUACCAUAGAGGAAUUUUGCGGCUACUCCUGACCUGCCGCAAACUCUUAACAGCGACUGUAAACAAGAUGGCUGAAGUGAUUUUGCUCAGACGUUUAAGAAAUCGGAGAAAUGCUGAUCGAAUUCCUUGGCAUUUAAGAGACAGUCGUAAUGCUUUUGAAAUGUCGGAGCGUGAAUUCAUCAGUUGAUUCAGAUUAAAUCGGUUUGCUUCAAUGAAUUGAAACCUUUUCUGAAGGCAACUGCCAAUGGAUAUUCUCUGCAAAAGCAGGUAUGGAAUGCUGGUCUGAGGGUUCUCUAUGCUAUAGGACAAUGGCCAGGCAAUACUCAUGAUGCAUUUAUAUGGAGUGGACUGAAACAAAAUCUAGAUAGUAUUUUGUCGCAUCGUGCAUAUCUUUGGGAGAUAGUGGAUUAUAUUCCCAUUUUAUCACGGGAAUAUCUCUAUAAUGAGAAGCACAGAAAAGUUCGUGCAGCUAUAGAGAUCAAAUCAAGAUUUAGGGUACUGCACGAUACUGGUGGAACACUAUUGUAUUCACAAAGCAAAAUAUGUAAAAUGGUCAUAUCUGGUGGCCAUUUUACAUAAUAUAUGCUUAAGGUAUUGUGUUGAAAAUCCUGAGAUUGAUGUGUUUGAAGAUGAUGAGUUGGUACCUUCAGAAAGUUUUCAGUCAGUGCAUGUUGAAAUUGCAUUGCACAAUGAAUUAUCUUUAAAUUUUGAAACUCGAUAAUAAAAACCCAAAGUGGGCAACAAUGAACCUCUGGCAAAGGUGAAACCCCCUUCAUGGAUAAUAAAGAAUAUAUUAUGAAAAAAAUUACUUUCAUAAUAUAUUCUUGGGGACCCACAAGCCAUGGUUUAUAUUUAAACCUGUAACUAAAUGCACAACCCUAAAUGAUUUUAAUUGAUAAUAAUAAUCCUAAAUAAUUUUAUUAGUCCUGGUUUCAAAUGCAUACUGACAACUUUUAUCAUUAUUGUUCUUCCCUCUGAAUUUCUUGUUUCCAUCAUUUAUGUUUAAAAACUCUUGACUACCAGAAAUAACUUAAUAGGCUUGAUAUAUAUAUAUUUUAGUGUUGGUAUGCCAGUCAUGAUUUACAAUAGUAAGUCACUAUAAAUUAGCAUUGCACUUAAUUUAUCUUAAACUUAGCAAUAAGAUUUACUGCACCGAAAUUCAGUUUCUUCCAAAAAGUCAAAUGUUUCCCUUUCGUCCCCUUCCGUGGGACAAGAUAGAAAAUUUCCAUGUGACAAUACACAUUUAAUAGCAUAAGAACUUCAUGCUUAUUUAUUAUAGUAUAAAUUAAAACAAUUAUUUCACUCUAUACUGUUUAUGUAUUAUGUUUACUCUAUACUGUUUAUGUCUUCUUGGGGGUGGGCAAAACAAAUAUUGGACAGUUCAAUUUUCCUCCACCAUUCCUGUGAGCGUAUUCUUCGAUUAAGCAGGGUUUUGCUCCAAUUCCUGAUUAGCAUAAUAUGUAAAGAAUAAACAGCCUAUGAUUUAUGCCUCCAUAUCCUCUUGUAUUAUUUAAAGAACAUACAUUUUUCUUUUAAUUCUAGAUUUUAAAACAUUAAAGUAAGGGAAAGAUUGUUUGCUGAAUUUAGAUUUAUAUCAUCAUUACGCAUUCACUAUAAUAACUUACUGCAUACUUACCUCAGUGGGUUUGCCAUUAAAAGAAAUACAUUUAAGUAAAAUCAUGAGUGUAUAAUAAAUUGUUUUUCAGCCAAAAAAAAAA